UCGUAAUUUCACCAAUUUCUGAAACCGAGAAGCCGAAAGGAAUUGAGAUCUACAUCGAGGAACCAAUGGCGAAGAUUGAGGAGCAACAAUCCACAUUGCAGCAUCAAACGAAAAAAAAAGUAGCCGCCAAAAGAAGGCACGGAUCCACUUCGUUUUUCGUCUUCGUAGACUACCUUUUCCUGGCCAUCUUCUUCCUCUUCCUCAGCUACAUCCUGUCUAAAAUGGUCGGAUUCUGAUUCAACAAGGAUGAUUAAUCGUGUGGGGCAUUUUACCCCGUCUCUAGUUGUGAAGAGCGAUUCGUAGAAUGUUAAGAGUGAUAUGCUCGAAGGGAGUAGUUCCACUGUUGGUGGUCUUGCUGCGUUUUGUUUUGUCGUAGUAUGAAUCCAUCACCUCAUUACAGUGCUAUGAGUUUCUCGUUUUUGUUGCUUUGCAAGAAUUCGGGUGUGUUGCUGAUAUAGCUGUUUGUUAUCUUCAGUACUGUUGUUCUGAUGGAUAAUAUGAUACUGGUUUUGUGUUCAUCAUCAGCCAUUUUUGCUAAUUGGAAGAGUUUAACCUUUUCAUUA
Salvia hispanica is the source of this 563-nucleotide long non-coding RNA. RefSeq lists it as uncharacterized. The record is from RefSeq and is a predicted model, not a curated record. Lineage: Eukaryota; Viridiplantae; Streptophyta; Magnoliopsida; Lamiales; Lamiaceae.